This 38-nucleotide transfer RNA is filed under the name Lepidium rahmeri. RNAcentral describes it as "partial tRNA-Leu". Lineage: Eukaryota; Viridiplantae; Streptophyta; Magnoliopsida; Brassicales; Brassicaceae. The record is from RNAcentral.
GGACUUAAAAUCCGUUGACUUUUAAAAUCGUGAGGGUU